CUAACUUCGCCCGGUCGCGGUCAAUCCCGCGACCGGGCUUGACGACCUGAACC
Molecule: non-coding RNA, 53 nt
Filed under: Pseudomonas sp. FeS53a
Lineage: Bacteria; Pseudomonadati; Pseudomonadota; Gammaproteobacteria; Pseudomonadales; Pseudomonadaceae
Source: RNAcentral